Molecule: ribosomal RNA, 468 nt
Filed under: uncultured bacterium
Lineage: Bacteria
Description: partial 16S ribosomal RNA
Rfam family: Bacterial small subunit ribosomal RNA
Source: RNAcentral
GACGAACGCUGGCGGCGUGCUUAACACAUGCAAGUCGAACGGAAAGGCCCUGCUUUUGUGGGGUGCUCGAGUGGCGAACGGGUGAGUAACACGUGAGUAACCUGCCCUUGACUUUGGGAUAACUUCAGGAAACUGGGGCUAAUACCGGAUAGGAGCUCCUGCUGCAUGGUGGGGGUUGGAAAGUUUCGGCGGUUGGGGAUGGACUCGCGGCUUAUCAGCUUGUUGGUGGGGUAGUGGCUUACCAAGGCUUUGACGGGUAGCCGGCCUGAGAGGGUGACCGGCCACAUUGGGACUGAGAUACGGGCCAGACUUCUACGGUAUGCAGCAGUGGGGAAUAGUGCACAAUGGGCGGGAGCCUGAUGCAGCAACGCCGCGUGCGGGAUGACGGCCUUCGGGUUGUGAACCGCUUUCGCCUGUGACGAAGCGUGAGUGACGGUAAUGGGUAAAGAAGCACCGGCUAACUACGUG